UCAGAUUGAACGCUGGCGGCAUGCCUUACACAUGCAAGUCGAACGGCAGCACGGGUGCUUGCACCUGGUGGCGAGUGGCGAACGGGUGAGUAAUACAUCGGAACAUGUCCUGUAGUGGGGGAUAGCCCGGCGAAAGCCGGAUUAAUACCGCAUACGAUCUAUGGAUGAAAGCGGGGGACCUUCGGGCCUCGCGCUAUAGGGUUGGCCGAUGGCUGAUUAGCUAGUUGGUGGGGUAAAGGCCUACCAAGGCGACGAUCAGUAGCUGGUCUGAGAGGACGACCAGCCACACUGGGACUGAGACACGGCCCAGACUCCUACGGGAGGCAGCAGUGGGGAAUUUUGGACAAUGGGCGAAAGCCUGAUCCAGCAAUGCCGCGUGUGUGAAGAAGGCCUUCGGGUUGUAAAGCACUUUUGUCCGGAAAGAAAUCCUUGGCUCUAAUACAGUCGGGGGAUGACGGUACCGGAAGAAUAAGCACCGGCUAACUACGUGCCAGCAGCCGCGGUAAUACGUAGGGUGCAAGCGUUAAUCGGAAUUACUGGGCGUAAAGCGUGCGCAGGCGGUUUGCUAAGACCGAUGUGAAAUCCCCGGGCUCAACCUGGGAACUGCAUUGGUGACUGGCAGGCUAGAGUAUGGCAGAGGGGGGUAGAAUUCCACGUGUAGCAGUGAAAUGCGUAGAGAUGUGGAGGAAUACCGAUGGCGAAGGCAGCCCCCUGGGCCAAUACUGACGCUCAUGCA
This 736-nucleotide ribosomal RNA is filed under the name Burkholderia sp. RNAcentral describes it as "bacterial SSU rRNA". It matches the Rfam family "Bacterial small subunit ribosomal RNA", at positions 24 to 753 of the family's 1533-position model. Lineage: Bacteria; Pseudomonadati; Pseudomonadota; Betaproteobacteria; Burkholderiales; Burkholderiaceae. The record is from RNAcentral.